RNAcentral lists this small RNA (9973 nucleotides) under Olea europaea subsp. europaea. The record is from RNAcentral. Lineage: Eukaryota; Viridiplantae; Streptophyta; Magnoliopsida; Lamiales; Oleaceae.
GAAGCAAGCACCAAAGAAAUGGCAUGAGAAGUUUGACUUAGCAAUAAUAUCAUUCGGGUUUAAAUAUAAUAGCGUUGAUAAAUGUUUAUAUUCUAAAGUUAGUGAUGAUUAUGUGACAUUUAUAUGCUUGUAUGUUGACGACAUGUUGAUUAUAAGUAAUUACAUGGACGGAGUAGAAGAAAUAAAGAGGUUUCUUUCUUCCACAUUCAAGAUAAGGCACUUGGACAAGUGGAUACCAUUUUAGGUAUCAAAGUCAUAAAGACUAGUGAGGGUUACUAUCUAAGUCAAUCACAUUAUAUUGAGAAUGUAAUAAAUAAGUUCAAACAUUUGAACAUAAAAGAAUGUAGUACCCCGAUUGAUCCAAGUUCAAAACUAAUAAAGAAUGAUGGAAGGGCGAUUGCUCAAUUGGAAUAUGCAAGUGCUAUAAGGAGUCUUAUGUAUGUUGUUCAAUGCACAAGAUCAGAUAUAGCUUAUGCAAUAAGUAAACUUAGUAGGUUUACUAGCAAUCUGAGUAAUGAUCAUUGGAAAGCUAUUGUAAGAGUUCAUGGAUACUCAAAGAAAACUAAGAACUUGGGCCUACAAUAUACUAAAUUCCCGGCGAUAUUGGAAGGAUUUACCGAUGCUAGUUAGAUAUCUAGCACGGGUGAAAGUAAAUCCACUUCGGGUUGGUUAUUCACUCUUGGAGGAGGUGCUGUUUCUUGAAAAUCAAAUAAAUAAACAUGUAUAACACACUAACCAUGGAAAUUAAAUUUGUAGCUUUAUCGGAUACCAGAAAAGAGGUUGAGUGGCUUAAGGAUCUCUUAUAUGAGAUACCUUUGGGAUCGAAGAAUAUCUCUUCAAUACCUAUCAUGUGUGAUAGUCAAGUCACGUUAGCAAAGGCCUAUAACAAGGUAUACAAUAGAAAGUCUAGACAUAUGAGUCUGAGACAUGACUACAUAAGGAAAUUAAUCAAAGAUGGAAUAAUUUUCCUAAACUAUGUAAGGUCAAUUGAGAAUUUAGCGGAUCCUUUAACUAAAGCACUAAAUAGAGAUUUAGUGACAUCUACUUCGAGUAGGAUGGGGUUGAAACUUCUUAACUAAAAAGGUCCACCAAUGACAGCAACCCUACCUAUCAUUAAUCAAAAAGUAAUCAACGGGUUCAAAGGGUAACAACAAGUCAUUCGAUAUGUGGAUAGUUGCAGCAUUAUUCAAAUCCGCAAUGACCCUAUCCUAAUUAAAUAAUACUGGUUGUUAUUGAAGUGAGAGUUUUGAGCUUAAAGCUCUUAAUAAAAUUCAGUGCUAAAACACAAGUACCUCUAAAAGUAACAAAGGUACCGGAAGAACUUCACCUAGACUAACUUCGAGGUGGUGCCGCCUCAAUAGAAAGUUCGAGUUUCUCUCUUAAAAGUUUGUCGAAUAGGAUGAACGCAAGGCCAUAAAAGCGCUAAGUGAGUUGAGGAACUUAAGAAUACGUGAUACUUAUGUGUGUAUUUUUACCAGUAUUGUCACAAGAAAUAAUUGGUUCAAAGCUUCCAUGCUACCUCUAAUUCCGAUUUUACUUUGUUUGAAUUACACUAUGGUUAGAUUCAAAUCGAAAAAUAUCUAAUCCUUAUGCAUACGUGUCGUCUUUUUGAAUAUGUGAUCUUAUUGAUUUUGAACAAGUGGGGAAUUGUUGAAUAUUUGUUCCAAAUCAAUGGAAUGAUAAUGGACUAAUUGUUGGACUCAAUCGUGAUGUAUUGAUUGAGGCCUAUAAAUAGGUGAUGAAUGAUCAAUACAAACAUAAUUACAAACAAGAUAUACAUACAUUGUUCCACAAUUAAUCAAAUUCAUGUUAUAACUCAUAUUCAUUUCUUCUUUAUUGUGUUCAUCAAGUUUUGGUAGAAAAUUUCUCGUGCGUUGUUAUUUUCUGCAUCAAGACUUGUUAAAAUCUUUCAAACCAUUUGCCAUAACACCCUUAAACAUCUGGAGAGGGGGCAAAUAUAGUUUGAGGACGACGAUCCCGUGUUCAAACCUCAAAUUCAUUCUUGACGUAUUUCGUGAUUUUUAUUCAUUUUGUUUCCAUAAUUUUGUUGUUGUUUCUUCUCCAACCCCUUAUUUUCCAACAAUAUUUGCAUACACAAAAAGGAAAAAAAAUUAAAAAUUAAGCAUAACGAUGAAAAGUACGUAAACUAAGAAUUGCUCAGGCCUUGUUAAGCCAAAAUAAUUUUAAGCAUUUGAGGCCUAGCUUGAUACACAUGCAAAAGGAUUGUGUUGACUCAUGCAUAGCCAUGCACAGGAAACUUCAAGGUUGUAGUGACUUGGUAACUAGCAAGGUCUCUUGAUGCAUCUAAAUAUUAUAUCGUCGAUAAUAGUUCAUACUACGAUGGCGCCGUGAGUCAACCAACUAGAGAGCCGACAAUGCCUCUUGGUGCAUCUAGGUAGCAUGUCGUUAAAAAGAUUGUGAUGGCAAUGUGGGCACUCCAACUAGAAAUGCAUGCAUCCCUACAAAUUUUCUAUUUGACUUGAGAUCCAAAUAAUAUGAGAGUGUAUUUAGCAUACAUGAUUAACCAAAUUUUAAUCUAUUUGUCUUCUUUAUCCUAUGUUUGGUCUCCCCCCUUGCCAAUAAGCUAUUUUUUUCUACAAUGAUAUGGAGCGAAUUUGUUUUUUAAUGAUAUUUUGUAGGCUCAUUACAACAGCAAAGAAUGUAAGCGCCUGUCUAGGAGCCAUUUUUAGAGAAUUUUAAUUCAAUAUAUAGCCGUUAUAGAGUACAUGGAUUUCGAGUGUUGCAAUAAUUGAUUGGAGCUGUAGAAGGAUAUUACAAAAAAGCCCUUUGUACUAUGGUAUCAAAUGGGGGCGGUAAUUUUAUAGAGGGGCUUGAAGUGAUAUCACAGAUAUAGAUUGGAGAAAAAUGCAGUCAAUUCAUGUUAGGUUGUAUGAUGAAAGUUAUUAUAUAACGGUUGCAUUUUAAAUUUUGAUAAAAAUUGCUCCCAGACAAGCUUUAAAUUUUCCAUCAAUUUAUGGCCUUUUUUACUGUAAAGUUAAAUUUAUCCUUGACUGAAUUUCAAUUGUGAGGAAGACUAACACAAUGACAUCUCAUAGAACUUGUGAAUUUAUUGAGCGGUGCAUUUGGAUCUUUAGACAUGCUUGUUAAGAAAUAUAUGUUACUUGAAAAAAUAGUAUAGAACCAUAGUUAGCCUAUACAAACAGUUGUUUCUAAUAGAUCUCAAUUUUUUAUUUGGAAAUUUCAAAAUCAAAUUUAUUAGAUUUUGCUAAAGAUAAAUAGAUAGACCAAACACGAGCUUAAUCUUAUUCAUUGUUUGAUCCACUUAUUACAAACGCCAUAAAGAUUCUCACACUAUAUGUAGUAGGAGACCGAUGAAUGGUCCACUUCAACAUUGAUAGAAUGAAUCAUGUCAGGAUAACCUGUUAUGAUCCAAACCAGGUCUGAAAUUACUUUAUUAAAAGCAGAAUAGCUCUGAUACGACUUGUUAUGAAAUGAAGAGAUUAUAUGACACAAUAUAAAGUAUUGAUCACACAAGCAAAAAUAAGAUUAAAGCAAGAAGAGAUAUUGGUAGAGGAAACGAGUAUUUUUAUUAAUUAACAACCAAUGAAGAGAAAAAUACAAUUUCAGCAAUCUUCGCAAUAUCUAAACUGAAUGAAGAGUCUACUACUUAUUAUAGGGGACAUGUCAAAACCUUAUAAUUAACCUAAAAGAUAGAAACUAGGUCAAAAUACGCGUUAAACUGACAUAAAGCAAAAAACCUAGAUGGUAUCACUCGAGCACCGUCUAAUUGCAGGCGAGCGACAGUCCUAUCGCUCGAGCAAGAGCUCGACGAUAGGCAGGUGACAACUAUCUACUUUAAAAAGUUCUUUUUUGCUCGAGCGGUCAGCUAGCGAAAAUUCGACAACUUUUCUUCUCGAUCCAUAAUUUCGAUCUCUUCAUGACCACUUCAACUAGGAAUUCAAUGCCUACUAGAAUUUGGGAUACAUAACAACAAAUCUCCAAAAUUUCUCCACCUAAAAAAAUAAGUUCGACUGCAACGAAAUAGACUAAACUUUUUAACCAGAACCAAACUUCUUCAACUUAUGAAAAUUACUCUUCAUCUUCCAUAGUAUCCACAAAUAAUACCAAACCCAAACACUAGGUUCCCAAAAUUCCCACAAGGAAUGCAAGAUUUACCAAAUAGGUCAAAACACACUUUGUAGCAGAUUGGCUCCAAAGGCUUUAACUAAAGACCCCUUACUAAUCUCAACACCUUUAAAUCACAAAAAAACAUAUGCAACUAGAUCAACAUACUCGCACCCAUCCUCAAUGGGUCUUUCCCUAGCAAUUGAGCAUGAUGCCACCGCAAACAAUGGUGACAGAGCGGAAUUACCCAUAUCCUCCAAACUCAUCAAGUAAUGUUCUUCAAUAAUGACCCAGAGUCAACUCCCAAAGGUACUCUACCAAACUUCACCAUGGUACAAAAUCUGUGCCGAUAAUUCUUCACUGAUUCUGCGCAACGUUGCAAGAUGUACAACUGGGACUUCUUUCACCAUUCCAAUACUACACGGACACCCUUUUAAACCUUCAAGACUCCACCUCCUUCAGAAAACUCAUAACCUUUCAAAUCAAGGGUAGUGAGAUGAGAUUAUUCUUCAAAUUUAGAACAUGUCGAACCUAACCAAGUGUUUUAAUUAUUCCAUCCAACAACUUCAAUUUGACCCCAUCAAUAUCAGCAAUCCAAUAAGAUCUAUUGUUGCCCAUGACAACAACACCUUACAUCAAUAUUUCAUAUGUUUCAAACAAAUCUCGAUUAGGACACAUAUGGAACACAGAAGCUGUAUCAAAAAAUCACUCCUCAUUAGGUUUGGAUUCCACGUCAGAAGUCGCCAAGAGAUCUCCAUCACUCAAAUAGUCCUCUAUUAUGUUGGCCUUAUUCGAAGUAUUUGAUUGUUUCCAUAACUUGUAGUUGAAUUAUACCUACUCUACAAUUUCUCGCAAUCUCUCUUGAUGUGUUCUUUCUUCUUACAAUAAAAACAAACCAAAUUGUUGUAACUCGACUUCGAUUUACCUUUUUAAGGAUCACCAUAAAUUACAAGAGCUUCUUCACCUCUGGACUUUCUCCAACCAAAUGCUUCAUUUUCUCCUUAGAGAACAAGGCAUCAUACACGUCUUCGAUGGUAAGUAUGUCACGACUGUAUAAAUUGUGUCCUUGAAUGAUGAAAACAAAGCAGAAAGUGAGCACAACAGGAUCAAGGUCAAAUCACCUUCAUCAUAUUUUACCUCUAACAUAUUCAAAUCAGCGACGAUUUCCUUGAAUACGACUAGAUGUUCUUCCAAAGAUCCUCAUUUUGCCAUUCGAUAAGAAGAUAACCUCUUCUUCAGUUGCAACGUACUUGUCAGACUUCUAGUCAUGCACAAUUAUGAAAACCCAAGAAUGACUAACCAAGAGGGGUGAAUUUGUUAUUAAAAUCUUUUUCAAAAAUAAAUGCUAGUUUAAUCAAUUUACAAAUAAGAUAAUGAGCAAAUAAGAUAACUUGAAAAAUAAUCAAGAGAAAGAGAAAGAAGAUGCAAACGAUAUGUCAUUGAUGUUUGAUCCAAUCAACGAUCUACGUCCCUAGUUACCAAGCUCUCCGUCACGAGCAAGACCUUUUUCCCCUAAAUAUGAUUGACUUAUAUGGCAAUCCAAUGUUUACAACGCUUUCGGUGACUUACAACCAAGGAGCACCAAUCUCUUUAUACUGUUGAGCUUUCUGAGACCUCAAUCGACCCACAAUCCAAAAACAAAAAUGAAAUUACAAUUAAAAGUUUCUCUCUUAAUUAAUGAUAUGAACUUAAUUAAGAAUCAAGAGAGAAAUAGGUACAACACUUCAAUAAUUCACAAAAAAUAUAGCUCAAGUGUUGUAUAAGAAAAACUUUAAUUGAGAUAUAUAAUUUUUACAAAUUUUUGGUCACUCAAAAAGUUUUUCAAAAGUUAAAUAAUUUGAUCUUUUAAGAAUUCAAAACUAAGAUAGAAAGAUCAAUAAAUGCUUCACCUUAAUGCUCAAGAAUUGAAUGUUGAUUGUGGUAUAAAGUGGGGUAUUUUUACCAUCAAACGGUCAAAAAUUCUGUCAAUUCGGACGUUCGCUUGGAAUCUAGACGGGUAACUAGCUGUUUGAGAAAUGGUCACUUAAAUGACCAUUGGUGAGGUCAUUUGGACGUUCGGAUGGCGAAAAAAUGCCCCUCUGAACUUUCUCCUUUGUGAUGAAAUUUUUCAUGCAGGUACUUAAAAGAUUUUCUCAUAUAUUGUAUAGAUAAGUUUUUUGUAAAUAUAUAAUCUUGAAAAUUGAGAUACUUGUCUUUUGAAAAUAUUUUUUAUACAAGUAUUGUUUGUUGUGAAAGAGUCUUGUGCAUAAAAAUUGUUUGAAUUAUAAUCGAUACGAAAUAUUAAAGUGUUUUACCUUUACAUUUGAGUACAAAAAACGCAUCUAUAGCAAAAGUCUUCUAUCUCUUCUUCCAAUGUGAUUUUUUAUGCGAAAGCUCGAUUUUUAUUUCCACGCUAGUCAAUUUGAUCGUUAAGCUCCAAAAAGUUCGUCCAUGUCCGUGGUUCUUGAUCUUGAUUCUCGUGUCUUCAUCCCUUGUUAGUUUUGCGACGAACACUAUCAAUACUUAAUCCAAUUCGUUAGAGUUAAAUGUAAUUUGUUUGUGAUAAUCAAAUCGAGAAGUCAAUCAUUAGGUCAACAAAUUACUCCAACUUUAACCACGAUGCUGCAGCUGUCUUUUUUCUUCAAAUCGUCCUAAAGAAUGUUGUUAAAUAAAUGAAGAUGAAUAUGCAAAAGUGCUUUUCAAUCCUUCCGUUGCUUCUUCUUUAUUGUUCAAGUUGUGGGCAUCUUGUCAAAUUCUAACAAUACAUCAUCCAAAUCCAUCUACGUUAAUAUAGCUCGCAUCUUCACUUUCCACAACGAAAAUCUUGUAUUGCAAUCUAAAAGCAGAAUUUCAUACUUCAUGGUUGCCAUCAAUAACAGAAACCUUAAACAAAAUCACAAGCUUACUCUGAUACAACUUGUUAUGAUCAGAACCAGAUCUGAAACUACUAUAUUGAAAGCAAAACAACUUUGACACCACUUGUUACGAAAUGGAGAGGUUAUAUGACACAAAAUAAAGUAUUGAUCGCACAAACAAGAACAAGAUUAAAGCAAGAAGAGAGAUUGAUAGAGGAAUCUAGUAAUUUUAUUAAUUGACAACCAAUAAAUUCAACAGUCUCUAUAAUAACUAAAUUGAAUGGAAAGUCUACUAUUUAUAGAGUACAUGUCAAAACCUAAAAGUAACCUAAAAGAUGGAAACUAGUUCAAAAUACGCUUAAAAUUGACAUAAAGUGAAAAAUCUAAAUGGUGCUGUCGCUUGAUCGAAGUCUAGUUGUAGGUUAGCGAUAGCCCCGUCGCUUGAGUGAGAAUUCAACGACAGACGAGUGAUAGGUCCCUGUUCCAAAAAGUUUCCCUACAGUUCGUGUGGCCAACUAGCAAUAGGCCAGCGAAAAUUUGUGACUUCUCUUUUCGAUCAAUAAUUUUGAUCUUCACAUGACCACUUAAACGAAGACUUCAAUACCUCUUAAAAUUUGAGUCACAUUACGACGUUAUCAAAAUUGGUAAACUAUCAAUAAGUUUGGUAAUAAUGCCGUUACUCUGAAAAGAAGUACCUAUCACCCAUCAACUCGGGUGAAACCAUAAUUUUCACACCAUCCAUUCCCUUUUCUGAUAACUGUGCACUGCAGAUAUUACCUUCCAAACAGUAAAUUUUUGACCAGAUUGAAAGCCAUUGGCAGAAUUCUACAUGAUGGUACCAAGUACCUACAAAUCUACCAACGGCAAUCACUGAUCAAUAUUUACUGCACUUAAACGAACAUAGAGACAGAUCACAUUCACAUGAUACUUGAAUAGGAAAAAAGCAAAGGCAAUUUUAUAAGUGCUGAGAUCUCAGCACUCGAUUGGCUAUUUUAACUAUAUUUUUUGUUCAAAAUCUAAUAAAAUAUUGUCACGUGACAUUUUAUAAAUCUAUCCGUGUAUAUAACAUUGCUCUAAACAUAUACAUAUAUUAACGCACAUUUAUAGUAAAUAGCUUUUAAUGUGAGAGCUCCAUUCAAUUUGUGGCGGUAAAUUUUCCCUGUAAAUCUAUAAUUAAAAAAAAGAUAUCUCGUCUCUUACACAGAUAAAAACCGAUUAAAAUAUAUCAUAUCUUCGUAAGAAUAUUACGGUGAUAUGAAAGAGAUAGCUUGUUGUCUACCCUCCCUUCAAUUCUAAUCUUUCUCCCACCAGAACAACCAAAAAGAAACAUUAGAAGAUAUAAAAGAGUGACCCAUAAACAGUAGAAAAAUACAAUUGUAUGCACUAUGCAUGUUUAUAUAUAGAGAGAGAGAGAAGAAGAUGAAGAUUUCGUCAAAGCCAAUAUCAAGUCCAAGCAGAGCAGAGAAAUUUUCACCGCAAUUGAUGAUGUUCUCGAGGAGCAAUGGCAGCAGCAGAAGCAGAAGCAGAAGCAGAAGUAGGUCACGUGCAAGCCCAAUCUUUUACUUUCGCAAUAAAAAGAAUGCAGAAGUGAUAGAAACAGCUCAAGAACCAUCCUCACCCAAAGUCACUUGCAUUGGUCAAGUCAGAGUUCGAAGGUCCUCUAAAACCUCGCGGCCCAAGAAAGCUGGCGGCGCCACCAACCAAACCCGCCCCUGCCGGUUGUUCAAGAAAAUUUUGUGUCGGAAUUGUACUUCAAGAUUUCACAAACCAAAGGCCUUCCGCCGGUCUUUUCUCAAAUGGGAUUUGUUUGUCCGGUCUGGAUGUUGCAGGAAAGCUGAUACCAAAGAGGAAUCUUUCGAGGUUGAACCAAUUCAGACAAGUCGUAAGGUUCAAAAUCAUGUUGGUAAUAAUUGCGAAAUUCUUGGACCUCAAUCGCAAGAAAAUGAAGUGGAUUUUCUUGGUUCCUCUAAUGAAAUUCUUGGAGCCCAAAUUCAAGAAAAUAAAAGGGAUUUUCUUGAUCCCUCUUCUUCACAUGUUGAUAAUAAUCAUGAAAUUCAUCCCCAAAUUCAAGAAAAUAAAGGAAAUUUUCUUGGUUCCUCUUCCGCACAUGUGGUUAAUAAACAUGAAAUUCUUGAAGCCCAAAUUCAAGAAAGUAAAAGAGAUUUUCUUGGUUCCCCUUCUCCACAUGUGGAUAAUAAUCAGGAACUUCUCGGAGGCCAAAUUCAAGAAAAUAAAGGAAUUUUUCUUGAUUAUUCUUCUCCACCCAAGAUCGCUUUGCUUUUGACUAGGAGCAGAUCUGCUCCCUACAGGUCUUCAUCAUUGGCCAGCAGGGUUUGGGAGUCUCCCCCAUUAGCUACACCAGAAACAGAGAGGGAAGCAAAAAUAAAGAAUGAAUUUCAAGAAUAUCAAAACCCCUGUUGUGAACAUGUGGCCUUUGAGUCAAGAAAUAGCCAUGAAGGUGAAGAAUCUGAAGGUUCAGUAAAUAAUGUUCAAAAAUUGAGUUCAACUGUGGAAGGUGUUACAGUGCAUCCUUUACUACUUACAAGGUGUAAAUCAGAACCAGCAAGAACAGGGGAAAGGCUAAUGCCAGAAGCCAAUUUGUGGAGGCAAAGAAGGUCAGGUGGUGUUAAGUUUUCUUCAUAACAUUAAUUAAUUCAUAAGGGAUUUUGUCAUUUUGUAUUUUUUUUAAAAUUUUUUUCUUUUCGAAAAAUUGUAGUAAGUAUAAUAUAGGAAAAUUGGAAGUUGGUGUUUCGAGAUAUUGUCAUUUUGAGUACUUAGUUCCUAAUAAAAUUUUCUUGAUUUUUAUAUUCUUAGGACUUGCUUGAACUCCAUUUUUUCAUUAAGAUCCAUUUUUAAACAGGAAUUUGAUCGCAUUUCAACUAUAUAUUCUUCAAUAAAAUAAUAUUACAUAUAUAUUCAAAAAAAAUUCUUAUUUUUUAACCACAUAUAAUAUUAAACUUUCAAUUUACAUACACAUAAGUUACUUUGGAAUUAAAUGAUAAAAAAUUUGUUAAAUAGUCAUAUAUCUUGCAUGUAAAUUCUAAUACCACUGC